Molecule: ribosomal RNA, 269 nt
Filed under: uncultured Planctomycetales bacterium
Lineage: Bacteria; Pseudomonadati; Planctomycetota; Planctomycetia; Planctomycetales
Description: partial 16S ribosomal RNA
Rfam family: Bacterial small subunit ribosomal RNA
Source: RNAcentral
GAGCACGUAGGUGGGUUUGUAAGUCAGAUGUGAAAGCCUUCUGUUCAACGGAAGAAUUGCGUCUGAAACUGCGAGUCUUGAGUGUAGGAGGGGAGAAUGGAACUUCUGGUGGAGCGGUGAAAUGCGUAGACAUCAGAAGGAACGCCGGCGGCGAAAGCGAUUCUCUGGCCUAUUACUGACACUCAGUGUGCGAAAGCUAGGGGUGCAAACGGGAUUAGAUACCCCGGUAGUCCUAGCCGUAAACGAUGGGCACUAAGUAGAGGGGUUUU